Molecule: ribosomal RNA, 234 nt
Filed under: uncultured bacterium
Lineage: Bacteria
Description: partial 16S ribosomal RNA
Rfam family: Bacterial small subunit ribosomal RNA
Source: RNAcentral
UGGCGGACGGGUGAGUAAUGUCUGGGAAACUGCCCGAUGGAGGGGGAUAACUACUGGAAACGGUAGCUAAUACCGCAUAACGUCGCAAGACCAAAGAGGGGGACCUUGGGCCUCUUGCCAUCGGAUGUGCCCAGAUGGGAUUAGCUAGUAGGUGGGGUAACGGCUCACCUAGGCGACGAUCCCUAGCUGGUCUGAGAGGAUGACCAGCCACACUGGAACUGAGACACGGUCCAG